Molecule: transfer RNA, 73 nt
Filed under: Gossypium harknessii
Lineage: Eukaryota; Viridiplantae; Streptophyta; Magnoliopsida; Malvales; Malvaceae
Description: tRNA-Lys
Source: RNAcentral
GCUCACCCUUUCUUUCUCUUUCUGGGACUCUCUAUUUUCGCUUUCAACUAAUUCUGUUCGGGAACCUGUCUUC